GCGGAUCCGUAGGAUGUCCCCCGGGUUUGGGGCGCGCCCCGAGGCGCAGACCCUCUUUGGCGACUCCACACAAUAUGCAGCCCGCCUGCAAGCAGCCGCUGCAGCCGAGGGGCGCGCCUGGCUGAUGUGUGGUUGAAUGGAGAGCGGCCCAACCCUCCUCCUUCCUCCUCUUCUUCUCCCCGCCCUGACACCCGGGCCUCAAACUUCAACCAAAGCCCGUGCCCUUUUCAAUUUACCCCCCUCGAUCAAAAUGAGCCAUUCUUGUCUGUCCUCCGCGGCGGCCCAUUGUCUGGCGUGAUAGGUUUGCAGAUUUGACAGCUGGGCGCACGCAGAUUUGAUUCAAACUCGGUCUCCCCGAGAGAUGAACUUGGACAUCAGCAAAGAUCCCGAGCACUGCCGGCUGGCUCCUAGACCGGUCUCCCGAC
RNAcentral lists this long non-coding RNA (425 nucleotides) under Homo sapiens (human). RNAcentral's name for it is "HSALNT0168514". The record is from RNAcentral. Lineage: Eukaryota; Metazoa; Chordata; Mammalia; Primates; Hominidae.